CCUACGGGUGGCUGCAGUGAGGAAUAUUGGUCAAUGGGCGCGAGCCUGAACCAGCCAAGUAGCGUGAAGGAUGACUGCCCUACGGGUUGUAAACUUCUUUUAUAAAGGAAUAAAGUGAGGCUCGUGCGCCUCUUUGUAUGUAUUUUAUGAAUAAGGAUAGGCUAACUCCGUGCCAGCAGCCGCGGUAAUAUGGAGGAUCCGAGCGUUAUCCGGAUUUAUUGUGUUUAAAGGGAGCGUAGAUGGGUUGUUAUGUCAGUUGUGAAAGUUUGCGGCUCAACCGUAAAAUUGCAAUUGAUACUGGCAGUCUUGAGUACAGUUGAGGUAGGCGGAAUUCGUGGUGUAGCGGUGAAAUGCUUAGAUAUCACGAAGAACUCCGAUUGCGAAGGCAGCUUACUAAACUGCCACUGACAUUGAUGCUCGAAAGUGUGGGUAUCAAACAGGAUUAGAUACCCGGGUAGUC
This 460-nucleotide ribosomal RNA is filed under the name uncultured bacterium. Its description in RNAcentral is "partial 16S ribosomal RNA". It matches the Rfam family "Bacterial small subunit ribosomal RNA", at positions 338 to 795 of the family's 1533-position model. The record is from RNAcentral.